UCGUAGGCUGGCCUCGCCAGUCAACCUCCGAUGCAGGAGCCAGGGAACCCGGUGAGAGGCCGGGACUGACGCGCAGCGGUAUGGGUGACGGGCGAGGCACGUAGCGAUACAGCCACUGGGUCGAGCAUGCGGACCUGGGAAGGCGCCUCGUCCGGCUGAUCCCGAGUCCGAAGACCUGCUGGCCCUAGCGGCGAUCG
Molecule: non-coding RNA, 197 nt
Filed under: Nocardioides sp.
Lineage: Bacteria; Bacillati; Actinomycetota; Actinomycetes; Propionibacteriales; Nocardioidaceae
Also listed under: 1 other name
Source: RNAcentral